GUUCGGCUUAGAGGCGAUCCUGGCUCAGAACGAACGCUGGCGGCGUGCCGUCAGUUUGCCUGGNUUCGGCUUAGAGUUUGAUCCUGGCUCAGGAUGAACGCUAGCGGUGCGCCUAACACAUGCAAGUCGAGCGAUAUAGCGGCGAACGGGUGAGUAACACGUUGGAACCUGCCCCGGACUCAGGGAUAGCCCACCGAAAGGUGGAUUAAUACCGGAUAGUCCCGCAAGGGUAAAGCUUUUGCGGUCCGGGAGGGGCCUGCGCAGUAUCAGUUUGUUGGUAGGGUAACGGCCUACCAAGCCGAUGACGGGUAGGGGGCCUGAGAGGGUGACCCCCCACAAUGGAACUGAAACACGGUCCAUACACCUACGGGUGGCAGCAGUAGGGAAUAUUGCACAAUGGGCGAAAGCCUGAUGCAGCAACGCCGCGUGCCCGAUGAAGGCCUUCGGGUUGUAAAGGGCUUUUCUGAGAGACGAGAAAGGACGGUAUCUCAGGAAUAAGGAUCGGCUAA
Molecule: ribosomal RNA, 509 nt
Filed under: uncultured bacterium
Lineage: Bacteria
Description: bacterial SSU rRNA
Rfam family: Bacterial small subunit ribosomal RNA (bases 66-509)
Source: RNAcentral